CUGACCCGAGUCUCGGGCUGGGCGGAGGAAAGCAGUGUGGGGUCCCCGAAGUUUUCCGGCGCAAGAGGCGUCGGGAACUUAGAAGAGCCUGCUUGCGAUCGCCGAGGGAAAAAGGGUGGCCAGAACCGGAAGCCCGCCCGAGGGCCAGGCCGUUUCCGCGAUCCGCCUGUCUCAGGCUCCAUCUCCUUUUCCUUGGCAGUUUCUCGGGUAGGGCCGCGGCGCUCAGCGGCUGGAGGUCGGACGGGAUUCGGAGGAAACCUACAGAGUCUCGGCCUUGCCCAGCGGUGGCGUCGGUGCUCCAGGCCGAUCUCCGAGCCAGCAGAAAAGCCACAGAGGGCAGCGGAUGCGGCAGCGGGCGGCAGAACACAGGGAGAAACACCCCGCGCAAUACGCGGCAGCUGAUGCGACUUCCAUCCUGGAGGGAAAGGACGUUCCCUAGUCGGCUCGACGCUUCAAUACCAUCGAUAGGAGCCUGCCCACGGCCUCGGCGGUGGUUUUCUGAGUGACAGAAGGUUGAAGAACCCCUGAGCAACGCGACACCGGAAGGGCUAGGAAGAAAAAAUACAUGGAAUGAGGAAGCAGACCACUCCUGCCUUCGAAAUCCUCUUCGUGAGGUUUGUAGAAUUCCUACGAACUCAGGAAAGACAUCAGCAGAGGGCAAUGAUCGUCAUAGCCAGGGUCUCACUCUGUCACCCAGUCUGAAGUACAGUGGCACCAUCAUGGCUUACUACAGCUUCGAACUCCUGGACUCAAGCGAUCCAUCUGCCUCAGCCUCCCGAAGAGUUGGGACUGCAGGCACAUGCCAUUGGACCCGGCUAAUUUUUUAUCAUUUUUAUUAGAGAUGAGGUUUCGCUCUGUGUCUAGGUUGGUCUCAAACAUUCCUGAGCUCAAGCAAUUCUCCCAUCUCAGCUUCCCAAAGUGCUGGGAUUACAGGCAUGAGCUACCAUGCCUGCCCCAAAAACUAUUUCCUUACAAUUGGUUUGUUUUAAUCAGGAUCCAAAGUCUACACAACAUGCUUGGCUGUUACAGCGCCAAGUCUGUUUCACUUUAUAACAAUCUCUCUCCCAUGCCUCCCUUUUAAGGCUAUCCCACAGCUUCUCAUGAAAUAAUCUUGCCCUUUUCACUUUCCUGGAGGAGGACACAGUUUGUGUUGGCAAUGGGCGGAAGGACAAUAAGCAAAGGGGUCCCGUCCACCACCCUCACUCCCACUCCCAACUGACCUCUGCCCCGGCCAGUGGAGAAGCAGCGGAAGAUGACCAUGCGCAUGUCCAGCCCCUCCUGGACCCAGAUCUUGCUCAUGAUGCGAAUCAUCUGCAGCGUCAGCAUGUCCUGGCGAAGGUCGUCCCCACACUGGAUGGAGGGAGAAAGUGACCAGAUCCCGUCUCCACUGCCUCCCCAGCUCUCAGGUCUCCCAAGUGCUGAACCUUGACCCUAAACUAACAGUGACAGGGAGUUCCCCAUCCUCAUAUCCCUGACCUGCUCACUCAGCUCAGACCAGGUCAAAGAUGGCCCAGGAACCUUCCCAGUUUGCCCAUGUGUUGUUCCAGCUUGUCCCUCAAUCCCAUGGCCCCAUCUGAAUUAAAUUCACGGUCCACUUCUGCAUGUAGCCCCUCUGACCAUCAGGCUUUUUUUUUUUUUUUUUUGAGAUAAUGUUGUCUCACUCUGUCACCCAGCCUGGAGUGCAGUGGCACAAUCUUGGCUCACUGCAACCUCUGUCUCCCGGAUUCAAGUGAUUCUCCCACCUCAGCCUCCCAAGUAGCUGGAAUUACAGGUGCCUGCCACCACGCCCAGCUAAUUUUGUUUUGUAUUUGUAGUAGAGAUGGGGUCUCACCAUCUUGGCCAGGCUGGUCUCAAACUCCUCACCUCAAGUGAUCUGCAUGCCUCAGCCUCCCCAAGUGCUGGGAUUAUAGGCAUGAGGUGCCACGCCCAGGCCAUCAGGCCUUUUUUAAAACUUGAAUGUUUACACUUUGGAUUUGGAACUUGCACACAGCAAAUAUAUAAGUUACUAAGUCACGUGCAUGUAUUUUGUCUCCCCCGUUAGAUUAUAUGCUCUGAGACUA
This is a long non-coding RNA of Macaca mulatta (Rhesus monkey), 2060 nucleotides long. RefSeq lists it as uncharacterized. The record is from RefSeq and is a predicted model, not a curated record. Lineage: Eukaryota; Metazoa; Chordata; Mammalia; Primates; Cercopithecidae.